RNAcentral lists this ribosomal RNA (406 nucleotides) under uncultured bacterium. RNAcentral's name for it is "bacterial SSU rRNA". It matches the Rfam family "Bacterial small subunit ribosomal RNA", at positions 1074 to 1503 of the family's 1533-position model. The record is from RNAcentral.
UUCGGUUAAGUCCGGCAACGAGCGCAACCCACAUCCCUAGUUGCCAGCAGUUCGGCUGGGCACUCUAUGGAAACUGCCCGUGAUAAGCGGGAGGAAGGUGUGGAUGACGUCAAGUCCUCAUGGCCCUUACGGGUUGGGCUACACACGUGCUACAAUGGUGGUGACAGUGGGUUAAUCCCCAAAAACCAUCUCAGUUCGGAUUGGGGUCUGCAACUCGACCCCAUGAAGUCGGAAUCGCUAGUAAUCGCGGAUCAGCACGCCGCGGUGAAUACGUUCACGGGUCUUGUACACACCGCCCGUCACACCAUGGGAGUGUAUUGCACCAGAAGUAGGUAGUCUAACCUUCGGGAGGGCGCUUACCACGGUGUGGUCCAUGACUGGGGUGAAGUCGUAACAAGGUAACCUA